UACGGAAGGCAGCAGUGGGGAAUAUUGCACAAUGGGCGAAAGCCUGAUGCAGCUAUGCCGCGUGUAUGAAGAAGGCCUUAGGGUUGUAAAGUACUUUCAUCGGGGAGGAAAAACAAAACUAAUAAUUUUAUUUCUUGACGUUACCCGAAAAAGAAGCACCGGCUAACUCCGUGCCAGCAGCCGCGGUAAUACGGAGGGUGCUAGCGUUAAUCAGAAUUACUGGGCGUAAAGAGCACGUAGGUGGUUUUUUUAAGUCAGAUGUGAAAUCCCUGGGCUUAACCUAGGAACUGCAUUUUGAAACUGAAAUACUAGAGUAUCGUAGAGGGAGGUAGAAUUCUAGGUGUAGCGGUGAAAUGCGUAGAUAUCUGGAGGAAUACCUGUGGCAAAAGCGGCCUCCUAAACGAAUACUGACACUGAGGUGCGAAAGCGUGGGGAGCAAACAGGGAUUAGAUACC
Molecule: ribosomal RNA, 455 nt
Filed under: uncultured bacterium
Lineage: Bacteria
Description: bacterial SSU rRNA
Rfam family: Bacterial small subunit ribosomal RNA
Source: RNAcentral